This 63-nucleotide transfer RNA is filed under the name Brueelia nebulosa. Its description in RNAcentral is "tRNA-Asp". Lineage: Eukaryota; Metazoa; Arthropoda; Insecta; Psocodea; Philopteridae. The record is from RNAcentral.
AGAGAGUUAGUUUAUAAAAAACAUUUACUUGUCAAGUGAAGGAAAAUGAUUUGUUAUUCUCUG